GUUUUAGCAGAGGUGGUGCUUGAUCCUCCUUAGCAAAAGCACACUUCCUGUGGUCCUGUGGUUAAAGCAGACUUAUUGCUACCUUUACAGCAGGGCUUGUUAUGGGCAGUGUGGCAGAGCCAGAGGGCAGACCAGUCUGUGCAGGAAUUCAAAAUACAGGAUGGCUCUACCAGAGCCUCAGUGCCAACUGUGUCUUUGCAUGUUAACACAGAAUGGUUAAAUACAUGUUAAAUAUGCUGAAGAAAUCUACUGGCAUUGGAGCUAUUUACAGUGGCAACAUAAUAAAUAAGGAAACAAAGACAUUAACUGCAUCAAAGUUUUACUGGCAGACUUCUGGCAUAGUGUUUAUGGUAUGCUCUUGGUCAUCAAACCAGUGAAAGCAGUGGUUAAUGCCCAAUGUAGCAGCUAAUUUCUGUCACAUGGAUAUUUGUCUGGGAAAUUAGCCUGGGUCUGAGCCAGAUGGAAUUGCACAGUUUCACUAACUUUGCAGCUCUAUUAGUUUGAAGUCAGGAGAGCAGACAUGGCCUUGACAAGCAUAUGAUUCCGUGCUGCAUUGCCUGUCCUGGGAAGCUGUUCAGCUUUUCUAUAUUUAACAGAUGAAAAUGUCUCCAGAGUUCAUCAAACACAUACUCAAGAUAUCACAAGCUGCAGCUGGCAGCUGGGAGCUCUGCAGUUCAAGGUUAAUGGGACACUAAUUAGUAAGUAUAUAGGGAUAUCAGCACGUAACACCCACUUUUUGAGCAAGUAGGAAAAUGAAUUAAUAGUCAAGAGAAGGAGGGCCCUUCUCCAGCUGCCUCCAGCUCCCUGCAGCUCUCAUUCCACAUUCCCACAGGCUUCCAGGGCAAGUGCUACAGUGAGCUCCUGCAGGCACAGCUGGGAGCACCAGGGAGCCUUGCAGGGCUGGCUGGCUUGGGGAGCAAGCCAGGGUAUCCCUGGAGAGGGUCAGAGUCAGCCUCUGCACUCUCAAACCUCUGCUUUGCCCCCUCGAACCACUGCAGACCCUGUGAAAGCCUGGUAAUGUGGCAAAAAGACCGCACAGCCCCGGGGUAUGGGAACCAUCCCUAAUGCCGGAGAAAACCAGCAGAGAGCAACACCAGCUGACAAGCAGCCUCUCUUCUGGUGUCAGCAGAAAUUGACUGUAGGGGAGAAGAUAGGAUUGAAAAUUGCUGGAACACUGAGUUGAAUAAUAACCAGGGAAUGAUCCUUCUUAAAGUGGAAAAGAGCAAGAUUAAUAGGCGUUUUACCAAGAGAUAACACUUUCACAAUUACUAUUAAGUAUCUAGAAGUCCCUAAUUCAAAAUAUGGAUAAUUUACUGUAAAUCUUGCCACUGACUGCCAUAUUUUCAGGCUAUAAAUUUAAUAGCUGCAGGAAAAAUUUGGUUCGAUGUAUGUAGCAUCACACCCUUCUUCUUUAUAACUGCCAUUCUUUCAGGAGUCAAAAGCACAUUUCAUUGGUUAGAAAUCCCAUCUGUAUAAUUUUGAAUUAUCCAAGAUAAGCCUGGGGGAUAAAAUUAAAAGCCAAGUUUGAUGAGGUUGGUUCUUAACUUCCUUGUCAUUUGGCUAUCUGGGACAUUGAUUCUUUAGCUGGCUUUAUGUCUGACAGCCCAUAUUCCUAGUAAAUUCAAAAUUAGUGACUUUGUGUUCACAGAAAUCUCAAACUAAUUUUUGUCAGAGACUUUUGAAAAUGUAGGUUACACAAACUCAUCUGUGGUUCAAUAGCUUUGCUGUCUCCUCCUAUAACUCAGCUUUUUAUUUUUACCCAGAUCAUUCUCCAUUGCAUUCCUCCUAUUACAAUAUAUUCUCCUUAGUUUGCAGGCAGGCAUUGGCAAUGAAUGGGAGGGAAGGUGAAAGCUUCAUGCAUCACAGAAGUAGCAUAAGAAGGAAUAAGUUGCUCAGAUGUCAAAGCAGUAUUAAGUCUAACCAAAAGGAUAGUACAAUUACCUGGGAACAUUCAGGGAAAUGCAUUGAAAAUGACAGGCUGAAGUUCUGUGGAUAUGAAGAAAAGUGAAGCUGUCUUGCAGUGGGGAAAAAGACAGUAAUGAGUGAAGAGUGCAGCUGUAAUAUUGCUUUAGGAAUUAUUUCAUGUUGUACUGUUAAUUAAGGAGACAGCUCUACACUUGUAGGCUUCUUUCUUAAGUCAGCAGCAGAAUUUCUACUUCUCACAGGAUUGUUCUGGAGAUGAGACCAAAAAGUCUUAAUGGCAUCAGCUGAGAUUCCUACAUGUAAUGUUGAAUCUUUAGGCCUUGCAGAAAAGAGCGCCCUGAAGAGAAUUACACCAAGUCCUACUCACAAAAAGGUAUCUCUGGAAAGGUCUGCACUGAUUUUGUCAUGGUGCUGCAGAACACACACACACACCUGAGCUGUGGAGCAGCUGACAGAGGCACACCACGCCUGUGGGGUCAACGUGGCUUUGAGUUUGAGGGGAAGAUCACUUUUAGUCCAAUUGCUGCAGUUCCAGUUUUGUCCUACUGAGAUUUAAUUAGCCCAAAGAAAUGCAAGCAGUGAGACUGUAAGCCUGAGAUGGUUGCUUGAUAAACCUUUGGGGUGCUGGGGUUUGAUAACUGGAGUGACCCAGUGACAUGACAGCAAUUUUCUUUGUUAGAAAAACACAGCCACGGUAUUCUCAACUUAUAACACUGGGUUGCUCCCCAGAAUGUCUCUCUAGUUAAUAGUAAAGUACAAAAGUGAUGUUAACUGAGAUAAUAAGAUAGCAAAUACUGAUGGAAAUUUGAUUGCAAAUGAGCGAUUUACGUAGCAAAUAAGAAUUAGAUCCCCUAAUGUGUUAACCAAAUAAGAAUCAGGAAACACUUGGGAAAUUAAUGUGUAAAGUAGACAAAAUAAAGCAUUCAAGGCAUGCUGGUC
Zonotrichia leucophrys gambelii is the source of this 2862-nucleotide long non-coding RNA. RefSeq lists it as uncharacterized. Lineage: Eukaryota; Metazoa; Chordata; Aves; Passeriformes; Passerellidae. The transcript is spliced from 4 exons. The record is from RefSeq and is a predicted model, not a curated record.